GAACCGUACAAACGUUAUUCGGAAUCACUGGGCUUAAAGGGUGCGUAGGCGGCGUGGCAAGUUGGGUGUGAAAUCCCUCGGCUCAACCGGGGAACUGCGCCCAAAACUGCCAUGCUAGAGGGAGACAGGGGUGAGCGGAACUUAGGGUGGAGCGGUGAAAUGCGUUGAUAUCCUAAGGAACACCGGUGGCGAAGGCGGCUCACUGGGUCUCUUCUGACGCUGAGGCACGAAAGCUAGGGGAGCGAACGGGAUUAGAUACCCCGGGUAGUCCUAGCUGUAAACGAUGAGCACUUGGUUGGAGACUCCCUCCAUAGGUUUCCGGCCGUAGCGAAAGUGUUAAGUGCUCCGCCUGGGGAGUAUGUCCGCAAGGAUG
This 373-nucleotide ribosomal RNA is filed under the name uncultured organism. RNAcentral describes it as "partial 16S ribosomal RNA". It matches the Rfam family "Bacterial small subunit ribosomal RNA", at positions 527 to 896 of the family's 1533-position model. The record is from RNAcentral.